This 91-nucleotide transfer RNA is filed under the name Ottowia sp. Its description in RNAcentral is "tRNA-Ser". It matches the Rfam family "tRNA". Rfam says of the family: Transfer RNA (tRNA) molecules are approximately 80 nucleotides in length. Their secondary structure includes four short double-helical elements and three loops (D, anti-codon, and T loops). The record is from RNAcentral. Lineage: Bacteria; Pseudomonadati; Pseudomonadota; Betaproteobacteria; Burkholderiales; Comamonadaceae.
GGAGCGUUGGCCGAGUUGGUCCAAGGCAGCGGCUUGCUAAGCCGUGGCCGCACUGCGCGGCCCGCUGGUUCGAAUCCAGCACGCUCCGCCA